This 66-nucleotide transfer RNA is filed under the name Telchinia issoria (yellow coaster). RNAcentral's name for it is "tRNA-His". The record is from RNAcentral. Lineage: Eukaryota; Metazoa; Arthropoda; Insecta; Lepidoptera; Nymphalidae.
AUUGAAAUAGUUUAAAUAAAAUAUUGAUUUGUGGAGUCAAAAAUAUGGAGAAAUUCAUUUUCAAUU